UAGUCCACGCCGUAAACGAUGUCUACUAGCCGUUGGGAGACUUGAUUUCUUAGUGGCGCAGCUAACGCAAUAAGUAGACCGCCUGGGGAGUACGGCCGCAAGGUUAAAACUCAAAUGAAUUGACGGGGGCCCGCACAAGCGGUGGAGCAUGUGGUUUAAUUCGAUGCAACGCGAAGAACCUUACCAGGUCUUGACAUCCAGAGAACUUUCCAGAGAUGGAUUGGUGCCUUCGGGAACUCUGUGACAGGCGCUGCAUGGCUGUCGUCAGCUCGUGUUGUGAAAUGUUGGGUUAAGUCUCGCAACGAGCGCAACCCUCGUCCUUAGUUGCCAGCAUUAAGUUGGGCACUCUAGGGAGACUGCCUGGGUUAACCAGGAGGAAGGUGGGGAUGACGUCAAGUCCUCAUGGCCCUUAUGUCCAGGGCUACACACAUGCUACAAUGGCGCAUACAGAGGGCAGCGAUACCGCGAGGUGGAGCGAAUCCCAGAAAGU
RNAcentral lists this ribosomal RNA (490 nucleotides) under uncultured bacterium. RNAcentral's name for it is "bacterial SSU rRNA". It matches the Rfam family "Bacterial small subunit ribosomal RNA", at positions 791 to 1282 of the family's 1533-position model. The record is from RNAcentral.